UACGAAGGGGGCUAGCGUUGUUCGGAAUUACUGGGCGUAAAGCGCGCGCAGGCGGUUUUUCAAGUCAGUGGUGAAAGCCCGGAGCUCAACUCCGGAAAUGCCAUUGAAACUGCAAAACUUGAGGACGAGAGAGGUGAGUGGAAUUCCCAGUGUAGAGGUGAAAUUCGUAGAUAUUGGGAAGAACACCGGUGGCGAAGGCGGCGACCUGGUCCGAUACUGACGCUGAGGCGCGAAAGCGUGGGGAGCAAACAGG
Molecule: ribosomal RNA, 253 nt
Filed under: uncultured bacterium
Lineage: Bacteria
Description: partial 16S ribosomal RNA
Rfam family: Bacterial small subunit ribosomal RNA
Source: RNAcentral